UGAAGAUUAGAAGUGAAGCAAAGCUAUAUAAAGGAGAAGAAGGGGGUAGGGGUGGGGGGGUUUGAGGGGGUGGGGGUGUUGAUGAUAACUUGGAUAAUAGUUGUAAAAGAAAUGAAGUAAGCUAAGAAGGGCUAUUGCCCAUCGGUUAAGCAAGGGAAGAUAGGAAUGGAUGCUUGCUUGACACGGAAAUCGAAAAUCCAAGAAAAAGCCAUUGAAA
RNAcentral lists this unclassified non-coding RNA (217 nucleotides) under Hevea brasiliensis (rubber tree). The record is from RNAcentral. Lineage: Eukaryota; Viridiplantae; Streptophyta; Magnoliopsida; Malpighiales; Euphorbiaceae.